Molecule: ribosomal RNA, 468 nt
Filed under: uncultured bacterium
Lineage: Bacteria
Description: partial 16S ribosomal RNA
Rfam family: Bacterial small subunit ribosomal RNA
Source: RNAcentral
GACGAACGCUGGCGGCGUGCUUAACACAUGCAAGUCGAACGGAAAGGCCCUGCUUUUGUGGGGUGCUCGAGUGGCGAGCGGGUGAGUAACACGUGAGUAACCUGCCCUUGACUUUGGGAUAACUUCAGGAAACUGGGGCUAAUACCGGAUAGGAGCUCCUGCUGCAUGGUGGGGGUUGGAAAGUUUCGGCGGUUGGGGAUGGACUCGCGGCUUAUCAGCUGGUUGGUGGGGUAGUGGCUUACCAAGGCUUUGACGGGUAGCCGGCCUGGGAGGGUGACCGGCCACAUUGGGACUGAGAUACGGCCCAGACUCCUACGGGAGGCAGCAGUGGGGAAUAUUGCACAAUGGGCGGAAGCCUGAUGCAGCAACGCCGCGUGCGGGAUGACGGCCUUCGGGUUGUAAACCGCUUUCGCCUGUGACGAAGCGUGAGUGACGGUAAUGGGUAAAGAAGCACCGGCUAACUACGUG